Molecule: ribosomal RNA, 781 nt
Filed under: uncultured Neocallimastigales
Lineage: Eukaryota; Fungi; Neocallimastigomycota; Neocallimastigomycetes; Neocallimastigales
Description: partial large subunit ribosomal RNA
Rfam family: Eukaryotic large subunit ribosomal RNA
Source: RNAcentral
UAUCUCUGUAGAGUCUGCAUAUCAAUAAGCGGAGGAAAAGAAACUAACUAGGGUUCCCUCAGUAACGGCGAGUGAAGCGGGAAGAGCUCAAAUUUGAAAUCUUCAAGGUUUUACCUUGACGAAUUGUAGUUUAAAGAAGUGUUUUCGGUUAGAGGAGUUUAGUAAAAGUUCUUUGGAAUAGGACAUCAUAGAGGGUGAGAAUCCCGUAUUUGACCUAUUUCUUUCUAGCUUUGUGAUACACUUUCAAAGAGUCGGAUUGUUUGGGAAUGCAGUCCAAAAUGGGUGGUAAAUUUCAUCUAAAGCUAAAUAUUGGCGAGAGACCGAUAGCGAACAAGUACCGUGAGGGAAAGAUGAAAAGAACUUUGAAAAGAGAGUUAAACAGUACGUGAAAUUGUCAAAAGGGAAGCGUUUGACACCAGUGUUGUUUUCUCGAAAAUCAAUUAAAAAUGACUGGAUUUUGUGUUGUAUUGACUUUAUCAGCUUUCUGCACUUUUUUCUUGUCUUUUUUAAUGCACUUUUCGUUUAACAAGUCAACACCAAUUUCUUUUGUUGUAAAAGAGUCAUUGGAAGGUGGCUUUCACUUCGGUGAAAGUGUUUAUAGCCUCUGACUUCUGCAAUCGGAGAGGAUUGAGGUCUGCAGCGUAGAUCCUUCGGGGUUAGAUACAUUUGUGCUAAGUUAGUAGUUUUUCAUAGACAACAUGUUGACUAUGAUUUAAUCAUGUAGCUUACUCGCUUAUGCUAUUUUACCUACGCUUAGGAUGUUGAUGUGAUACUGCGAGCA